GAUGAACGCUGGCGGCGUGCCUAAUACAUGCAAGUCGAGCGAACAGACGAGGAGCUGCUCCUCUGACGUUAGCGGCGGACGGGUGAGUAACACGUGGAUAACCUACCUAUAAGACUGGGAUAACUUCGGGAAACCGGAGCUAAUACCGGAUAAUAUAUUGAACCGCAUGGUUCAAUAGUGAAAUACGGUUUUGCUGUCACUUAUAGAUGGAUCCGCGCCGCAUUAGCUAGUUGGUAAGGUAACGGCUUACCAAGGCAACGAUGCGUAGCCGACCUGAGAGGGGGAUCGGCCACACUGGAACUGAGACACGGUCCAGACUCCUACGGGAGGCAGCAGUAGGGAAUCUUCCGCAAUGGGCGAAAGCCUGACGGAGCAACGCCGCGUGAGUGAUGAAGGUCUUCGGAUCGUAAAACUCUGUUAUUAGGGAAGAACAAAUGUGUAAGUAACUAUGCACGUCUUGACGGUACCUAAUCAGAAAGCCACGGCUAACUACGUG
RNAcentral lists this ribosomal RNA (496 nucleotides) under uncultured bacterium. RNAcentral's name for it is "partial 16S ribosomal RNA". It matches the Rfam family "Bacterial small subunit ribosomal RNA", at positions 28 to 507 of the family's 1533-position model. The record is from RNAcentral.